This is a non-coding RNA of Camelina sativa (false flax), 4655 nucleotides long. The record is from RefSeq and is a predicted model, not a curated record. Lineage: Eukaryota; Viridiplantae; Streptophyta; Magnoliopsida; Brassicales; Brassicaceae.
CUUCUCUUCUUUGUUGUUUUCCUCUGCUAACGCGAUGGCUAGUGAAGUGAUGAUGAUUCUUCGAAACGAACGCGCGCGUAUUUGAGAGUUUCUGAAGCGAUCAUUGUUCCUACUUCUGGGUUCUCAUUGGUGUUAUUGGAAGCGUAUUAUGACCUAAUUAUCGCUUUCGACUAUGAAAUCUCAACUUCUAGGAUUGGUGGAGGAUACUAUCUAUGAACGAUCGGUGAUUGAAGAGAUCUAUCGGUUGAUUGAUCGACCACUCGAUUUUUGUGGAGGAGGAUGCUUUCAUAAUCGCUCGGUGAUGGUUUCGAUGGAUCGUUUUGUCUUCUCUGGGAUACAUAUCUGCUGGUUCGUGGAGUGUAGAAGCUACUGAGAAAUUCCAAAGGGAGUCUGGACCAACCAAACCUUGAGGAAGACGACGAAGUAAUGGAUUAGAUAUCUUGAUUGGAGCCACAAUCGGUUUUGUUGCAUGAGGCUCAUGGAUUGUCAAAUUUUCUCAAGACUACCUGAGAAAGGUAUCGGUGGACAUGAUGACGACUAGCUUAAAGCGCAACACCAUUUAUGGUUCAAACACGAAAGGGAAAGAGAUUUCUUUGGGAUGCUUGCCAUGAUCUCACUUUGGUCAUUUUGAUGGUUGCUGCAGUAGCGUCUUUAUCACUUGGGAUAAAAUACAGAGGGUAUCAAAGAAGGAUGGUAUGAUGAAGGGAGCAUUGCAUUUGCAGUGAUUCUUGUCACAGCUCUCAGUGACUACAAACAGCCUCUCCAGCCUCAUAACCUGAAUGAUGAAUAGAGAAAUAUACAUCUGGAGGUAUAGAUUUGCACCAAUGUGACAAGAGGUGGAAGACGAGUGAAAAUCUCAAUCUAUGACAUUGUGGUGGGUUAUGUCACACCUCUCGACAUUGGCAAUCAGGUUCCUGCGGAUGGAGUGCUAAUAUUUGCAUACUGGAGAGAGCAAAAUGGUUAACAAAGACUCUAACAAGGACCCUUUCCUAAUGACUGGCUGUAAAGUGGCAGCUUGAAAUGGUGUUAUGCUGGCUACUGGUGUUGGAGUCAACAAUGAAUGGGGAUUGCUGAUGGCCUGAAUUUCUGAAGACAAUGGUGAAGAAACUCCCUUGCAGGUGCGCUUAAUUGGGGUAGCUGUUAUAUGUAUGCUCUUUUCUUAUGUGGAUCGAUCCUUUGAGCACUCAGUGAUGGCUUUGAUGGAUUGUUGUGUUCUCUCUGUUCUGUCUCUACGCUGCUUCUUCUUCCUCUAAUUUUUGUUUUCUUACUUACGAUUCUUCUGUGUUCUUCCUCUGGUUUUUGUUUUCUACUUACGUUUCUUCUUCCGUCUUGCAGAUGUUUUGGAAGCGAAUCAUUAUCAGAUCAUAUCUUUCGAUCCUGCAAUUUCACCUUCUUCUAGGAUUGUGGAGGAUAAUACUAUUGAUCGAUUUGUGAUUGAGGAGGAGGGAACUAAGAUCUUUCGGUUUUCUUUCUUUUUUCUCUCAGGUUGGUGAGAACCCAACAACGUCUGGCUGAGGAGAUUUUGGAAUUACUCCUGAACAGCUUGUCAUAUUGUUGUCAUAGGAUCACAAUAUGGAGGGGCCUCAAGGAUUGUCAUAUUUUCUCAGGACUACCAGAGAAAGGCAUCAGUGGAGAUAAUGAUGAUGAUUUGCUAAAGCGCAAGACCAUAUAUGGUUUCUGAUGUUCCUUUCGGAUUCUUGCCAUGAUUUCACUUUGAUGGUUGCUUUCGGAAUCAGGUUCCUGCGGAUGGAGUGCUAAUACUUGGGAGGAUGACUGGAGAGAACAAAAUCGUGUUAACAAAGAAGACCCUUGGCAGAUGGAAAUGGUGUUAUGCUGGUUACUGAUGUUGGAGACUUGGAGUCAAUGAAUGGGGAUUGCCAAUAGCCUGAAUUUCUGAAGACAGUGGUGAAGAAACUCCCUUGCAGGUGCGCUUAAUUGGGGUAGCUACCUUUAUUGGUUCCAUUGACUUGGCAUUCGCUGCUACUGUGCUAGUGAUUCUUCUGACUCGAUAUUUCACCGGUCACACUAAGAUGUAGGUGGAUGUCGUCAAUUUGUUAAAGGAAAGACAAAAACUGGUCAUGUAGUUGAUGAUGUGAUCAAAGUUGUUACCGUAGCGCCUGCAGAUUACAAUUGUCGUAGUGGCAGUUCCUGAGGGUCUUCCAUUGGCUGUUACUCUAACCCUUGCCUAUUCAGUGAGGAAAGUGAUGGCAGAUAAGGCUUUGGUGCGGAGGCUAUCUACUUGUGAGACAAUGGGUUCUGCCACCACUAUUUGCAGCGAUAAAACUGGAAGACUAACGUUAAAUCAGGAUAUGUAGAGUUGCUGAGAAAUUCCAAAGGGAGUCUGCUAAGUCUGAGCUCCCCUGAUGCACAAGGUGGUUUAUUCAGAUCGUUGUCGAGUCGAGGCACUGGGACUGCUCUGUUGACUUAUCUUCUCGUUUAUCAUCAUCUGUUUAGGCAGGUUUCUUCUGAUAUCUCGUUUUACAUCUUAUUCUUCUUCUUUUUUUCCCUAAUGAUUUUCUGAGAUUUGCUAUUGUUGGUGACGAAUGAUUUGAUCUCCUGUGUCUUAUUGUGUUUUCCAGAUUCUCUUGCUUUUGUUGGUAUACUUUCGAUAUGUUUGUUCGUAACAUAACUCUGCUUUGUUUUUGUCUUUAUCUCUGUUGGUGUUAUCUUUCAUGCUACAUCAAUUUUUAGUGUCUGUCUCUGAUCCUACUCUCACAUGCUUGUUACGGUGGUUUAAUGUGAAGUGCUACCUUUCUUUAUAGGUCUAUAUUGAGGAGGCUAGUUCUAUUCUGUCUCGGUUUAUAUUGAAAGAUGUCUUUGAUCUCGUGGUUUCCUGUUACCCCCUUUGUUUUAUGUUUAGGGUUUUUAAUUUCCAUAUUAGAUGUUUUUGUUUUCUAAUUUUUUGAGAAAUUUCGAUUUAGAUUGUAGAGGUUCAAGGCAUUUUGGGAGGGAAGGAUCGCUUGUGUGUUUCUGGUUACUUCGCAUCUAUACAUUCUUUUAUUUGAUAUACUGACUAUUUGUUGGUGAGGUAUGAUUGUUCCGCUGUGUCUGUGUUUCCCAGAUUUUCUUCACCAAUUACUUGACUAUCAGUUCUUGUUUCUCUUCUGUGUACACAUGAAAAAGAUAAUAAAUUUCUCCUAAACAGGUUUGUUCUUAUGCUGUCCUUUUAUGUAGUAUUUGUAUUGAACUUUGAAAAUGUCUUGUCCUUUUGCCUAGUAUUUGUUCUUAUGUCUUGGCUUCCUGAAUUUUGAACUGGGCCAUCGGGGAGUUUUCAACAUGAUUUGGCUUGUUAUUAGAUGUCUCAGGUAAUGUUGUUAAUCUUCCUAGUGAUGUUGGCAUUUCUGUGAAGUUCUCCCCUUCUAGGUAUGGUGAGGAUAUAGAGGAGGCCAGUUCUAUUUUGAUUUAUUUUUUGCGAAGGAUGGCUUUUAAUCUACAGUCUUCUUUGUAACCUCCUUGGUGGUUUCUUCCCUUGUCCUUGGAGAUUUGAUUAGUUUUUCUCCCCCUUCUCUUUUUGAUUUUCUGAUUUUAUGAUCUGCAUUUUUUAUAGGGUUUAGUGGCUUAUCACUUCUGCUUCGCAUGGUGUUUUCUCUUUCUAUAUGAAUUCAUAUUUUUGGAUGAUGAAAUUAGAGGUUUUGUUUCGACCUGUUUGCUUAGGUUUCCAUGUAUUUGUGCAUCGGGAGUUUUGUGUCUACAACUUGGAGCCUCCAUCAUUGGUUGAUUCAGUUUAUUGGGUAUCCAAGAGGCUUGAGUUGCUCACUGGUUGCCUCAAGGACUGUAUCAUUUGUCUACUCGUAGUCAGAUGAGAGACGAUCAUAAAUUCCUUUUAAAUGGGUUUGUAAGUAUUGUUUUGUUCUUUUCAUGAUGGUUAUGUCUACCAAAAUAGUUUCCGUAUUGAACAUCUUCAAGUCUUUUAGGACUGUUCAAGUCUGAGCUACUCUUAUGCAGAAAGCUGCUUGGAUCUUCUGCAAUCUGUUGAUUCACCUUUCUGGAUUUUGAAGUGUGUUCCGCUUAUUGAGAUCUUCUACUAAGUCUUUAUCAUAGAUAUUUCAGGUUACUACUUGGUCUCUUAUCUGUUUAUCCAUUUUGGUGUGCUACAUCGAUUCCUAGUUUUUUUUGUUUAAUCCUAAUUGCAUAUGCUUGUGAUUGUAGAUUCUCUUUAUAUGAAUUACUUCCCUUGAAUAUAGGUAUGUUAGUAUGGGCGCAAAGGAGGAAUUCUCCAUUUAUAUAGAUUCAUGUUGUGUUUUUUGUCUUUUUUUUGUUUUCGUUAUGUGAUCUGUUUUCCUUCUCCUUAUCUGUUUAUGCCUUUCUGAUUUCGUAGUCUGCAUAUGUUCUAUGGUUAAUGCAUAUGAAGUCAGUAUUUUGCAUAGGAGUUUGGAUGUUACAAAGUGGAGGUUCUGAUUCGUUCUGAUUCGUCCUGCUCUAAUAGAGGACAGAUGUGUUGAUGAAAAAAGAUGGCAACGAAAGUCUACAAGGCAAGAACCAAUUCUAGAUAGCAAAGACAUUAAUUACUUACCUCAUUAACAUCUGGAAUCCGCAAAGUAAACACAAAAUGACUUGUAGAUGAUUUCUCAUUCUUUUGAUUCCUUCCUACUGAACCUGCAAAAAGAGAAUUCACCCAAUGAUUGGUAAAUCGACAGAGACUAAUUUAUUUCUUA